RNAcentral lists this ribosomal RNA (401 nucleotides) under uncultured bacterium. Its description in RNAcentral is "bacterial SSU rRNA". It matches the Rfam family "Bacterial small subunit ribosomal RNA", at positions 358 to 774 of the family's 1533-position model. The record is from RNAcentral.
GGAAUAUUGGGCAAUGGGGGGAACCCUGACCCAGCAACGCCGCGUGAGGGAAGAAGGUUUUCGGAUCGUAAACCUCUGUCCUUGGUGAAGAGGAAGAGACGGUAGCCAAGGAGGAAGCCCCGGCUAACUACGUGCCAGCAGCCGCGGUAAUACGUAGGGGGCGAGCGUUGUCCGGAAUGAUUGGGCGUAAAGGGCGUGUAGGCGGCGAUUUAAGUUUGGAGUGAAAGUCCCGUUUUCAAGAUGGGAAUUGCUUUGGAUACUGGAUUGCUUGAGUACAGAAGAGGUAAGCGGAAUUCCCGGUGUAGCGGUGAAAUGCGUAGAGAUCGGGAGGAACACCAGUGGCGAAGGCGGCUUACUGGGCUGUAACUGACGCUGAGGCGCGAAAGCGUGGGGAGCGAACA